RNAcentral lists this ribosomal RNA (253 nucleotides) under uncultured bacterium. RNAcentral's name for it is "partial 16S ribosomal RNA". It matches the Rfam family "Bacterial small subunit ribosomal RNA", at positions 524 to 776 of the family's 1533-position model. The record is from RNAcentral.
UACGGAGGGUGCAAACGUUGCUCGGAAUUAUUGGGCGUAAAGCGCACGUAGGCGGUUCGUUAUGUCGGAUGUGAAAGCCCUCGGCUUAACCGAGGAAGUGCAUCCGAAACUGGCGAGCUUGAGUACGGAAGAGGGUCUCGGAAUUCCCGGUGUAGAGGUGAAAUUCGUAGAUAUCGGGAGGAACACCAGUGGCGAAGGCGGCGAUCUGGGCCAAUAUUGACGCUGAGGUGCGAAAGCGUGGGGAGCAAACAGG